This 263-nucleotide long non-coding RNA is filed under the name Olea europaea (common olive). Its description in RNAcentral is "long non-coding RNA (OEUR_LNC001025)". Lineage: Eukaryota; Viridiplantae; Streptophyta; Magnoliopsida; Lamiales; Oleaceae. The record is from RNAcentral.
AUGUCCCUGACAAUGGCAGAGCAGGGGCCUCGGGUAUACCACAUGUGACCUCGGCCUCGAGAUCAGUGACCAUGGAGUCCGGGGAACUCGCUAGGAUUAUUCAAGAAGGAAUUAUGGCAGGUCUACUUCAGGGCAACAAAGGGACGACAAGAUUCAGUCCCAACACUCCCUUUACUCCCGAGAUAUUAAUAUUCCCCUUGCCAGACAGAUUUAAGUAUCCUAGGAUCAAAGAAUAUGAUGGGACCACCGAUCCAAUCAAUCAU